Molecule: long non-coding RNA, 11472 nt
Filed under: Aquilegia coerulea
Lineage: Eukaryota; Viridiplantae; Streptophyta; Magnoliopsida; Ranunculales; Ranunculaceae
Description: long non-coding RNA (ACOE_LNC001966)
Source: RNAcentral
UUAUACUAGCAACUCAUGCUUUAACCACAUAAAUUGGCUUUUCUAACAAAUCCACACCAAUAAGGAAAGGAAUUAUUUUUGAUUCUUUUUCUCUCCAGAUCUUUUCUUUAACCAAGUGUUGUUUUGUUUAGUUCCAAAAACUAAACAAAACUUUCUCCAUACAAACAUUUUCCCUGCAAAAAAGCUUCUUACUUGAUAGAUAACUUUCUUUCUCUCUCUCUUUACUGAUCUCUUCGUUAUCUCCGACCAUCUUAUGCAGUAGUAAGCUCUCUCUCUCUCUCUGUUCUUCUUAUUGAUUUCUUAUUGAUUUCUUAUUGAUUUCGUUAUAUAAGUUAAAAUCUUCAAUUCUGUUGUGGAAGAACUAAAAUUUAGCAAACCAAUUGACUCACCUUGAGCAGACGCGACGCCGAGAAAAGAAAAGAAAAAAAAAACUAGAUCUUCGAUUGAUACAAUGAUACUUGUGUUGUACUGUUGUUGUUGUGAUUGAAGUUGAGAUCCAUUCAAUAAACAACUUGAUGGAGAUAUAAGCCCAACUGCCCAAGCCCAUAGUUACUGACGGAGAUAUAAGCCCAACUGCCCAAGCCCAUAGUUAACGAGCUGCUCGGCUCGGCUCGGGCUCGUGACGAGCUCAAAAACCGGCUCGAACUCGGCUCGUUUAGAUAAAUGAGCGAGCCGAGCCGAGCUUUUAUCGAGCCGAGCCCGAACCGCUCGGCUCAGAUUGCAGCCCUAAUCAUUGCGUCUCUUUCCAAACUCCAACUGCUCGUAAGUUAUAAACCCUUCCCUUUAUUCACACUAUUCUCUACAACUCUCUUUUCUCUCUCUGCCCGUCUACCAACCAAACAUCUGAAAGAUACAUCUUCUCUCUUUCCAUUUCAUCUUCUUUCUUCAACUGUAAUUCCAUAUACUGUAUGGUACAAUUGUUGUUUAAUUAUCCAAACUAAUUUUAUCUGGUACUUCAAUUCAAAUUGGGUUUUGGUUGUGGUUGUAGUUAUUGUCGUCUAAAUAAAUCCCUCGAUAGGACUACCACAAUAACACUAGGAUUAAGUCCAGGUAGUCCAAAAAAACAUUCUAAACAUUGGAUAGAUAUUUCACUGUAUCAAAAUUCCUGCAAUUACAUUUGGUUUGGUUUGCAAUUUUAUUUAACAGAUUUCUGCAAAAUGUAAAUGUAAGUGUAUUUGGUUCUUAGGACAGUCGGAGAAGAUGAUCGGAGUUCAGAAGAGGAAGGAGAUGAGGUUGUGGAAAUGGCUGAGCUACCUGAUUAGAUAGUUGCCUACGUAUCUGAGAAAGAAUUCCUUUCGCCCCAGAAUCAAGCCCACGUAGUUCAUUAUAUAGGUGAUUGGGACAACGGAUAGCUCAUUAAUUGCCCAACGGAAUGGUCAAUUAAUGGGCGGAUAUCUUGGAUCUGACAAUAUAUUGUAACCGUAGAGAAUCAAAACGUAAAGUGUUUGAAUGAGGACGAUGUAGCUCGAGUAAAAGUAGCUCUACGUCGGGUGAGGUCGGAUAAAAAUGGGCUUGUGUCGAGUAAAGGCUUUUGAAGGUCGGAUCGUAUUAGCAUUUGUGGUGACGUAGUGAGCUCGAGUAAGUGUGGUGUUACGUCGAGUAGAGUCGAAUAUACUUGGGUUCACGACGAGUUAUGUGAAUGGGUAUAUACAUAGCCCCUUUUUUAUUUUGAUUUGGGUCGGGAAAUCAAUUUUGUAGAUAUGGUGGACUCAAGUCGAAAUAAAAAAUGUAGAAGAUGAUGAUGUUUUGGUUGGUUGCUUUCUCCCGAUUUACGAUGUAAUGAAUGAUUCUAUUGUGUGCUGCAGUAAAUGAAUUUGCAUUCUCGAGAGAAAAGGAAUGAUUGCGUUUAUCUGGGGAAUGUGAUAUCUUGGCCACGUGGAUUGUGUUUUUGAAUUUUGAAUAUUUAUAAAGUAACUGAAAUGAGAGGGAAAUCAAUGGUUUCGUCGGUUGGAUUUCUUGAAACGUAUCUGGCCAUUGAUUGAAGACGGCUUGGACGGUUGAGAUGAAGUGGUUGGGUUUUAUAAAACCUAACCGCACCGCUAGAAAACCAAGGGUUUCUGUUGCUUAGGAUUUAAGGCUUCUGCAUCUGUUCAGCACAAGGUACUUGCUCUUCUUCUCUUUUGCUCUUCUUCUUCAUUUCUUCUAUUUCGUAUUUUCCUUGCUGUUCUUCAUUGCUUUUUUCUGGUUUCAUUCCUUGUUCUUCAAGUGGUGGUUGAGUAAUUUGAUCUUUCUUUUGUAUCUGUUUAAUUUCCUUGUUUACCUGUUGAAAUCUUCGUUGAUUGGCUGCUGGUUUUGGUUAUUUCCUCCAUUGUUGAAGCUUUUUGAAGCUUUCUGUGUCUGUAAGUGGUAGUUGUACUUGGUAGAUAGUGUUUGUUGCUUGAUUUUCCAUAGUUGUAGCUGUACAUCACUGUAAAGAAUGAGUGAUAGGGGGUCGGAAAGUAUAAGUGAUAACGACGGAGAUGUUCAGGCUAGUGUUAGUGGUAGCCGAGUUGAAGCAAAUGAUGAAGAGACAACUAGUGGAAGGGUCCUUAGUGUGGAAGAGGCUCGGAGGUCGUUUCCAGAAAUUCGAGCUGAGUUUAACAUUAGGAUACCCGACCUUGAAAUGUAUAGGGUACCUGAUAGGCUUUUCGACCUAUGUGGGGAUACAACCUCGACGUUAAUAUGUCUUGGUCAGUUGAGGGGUGGCCUGCGUCUUCCAUUUAGCAAGUUCGUAUGUGAUGUGUUAAAUCAUUACGACGUAGCUCCCAUUAUGAUGCCCACCAGCUUUUGGACCUCGAUGCUAAUAUUUGAGGAGUUAAACAGGCUGUAUAAAGCCGAUAUUGUAAAGUGUGACGUCGUUGCAUAUUUCAUGUGUGUGACUGGUCGGAGUGGGGAUUACGUUUGCUCCUUAAAUAGGAGACGGAGUUGUGGCCCGGCAAAGCUGUUCAAUCCUCCGACUUCGAACGAUGGUUGGAAAAACUCCCCUGUAUAUAGAAUCCGGGGUCAGUUUGUCCAGCCCAGUGCGUACCUAUGUCGAUAUGCGAUUCCGAGCAUAGGUGAACGUAUGUCUUGUAACUUUACCUUAUAUUUUAAAAGUUGAAUUUUUGCUGACCUGCCUUGUUUGUUUCGUAGGUCAAACAAAAGAUUAUAACGAGCAUAUCGACGGUCGUUUGCAUCCGAGCAAUAUAACUGAUUUUGCUGAGAAAUCUUGGGCCGAGAAGAGGAAGUUGUUACCUCAUUUGGCACGUUUCUUUUGUGAGCCCCGAGUUAAAUUUAGCAAAGGUGCCGAGGUGGAAGCUGGUGCCUCCAGCGCUCCCGCACCCAAAAGAGUCAGAAGGAAGAAAGGGGAACUUGCUAUAGCUCUGCCGGUUGCGGAGUUGGUUUCAGGUCGACCAGGAGAUUUACCCAUCGAGGCUGUUGACGCAUUACCCAUGGCUCCACCCAAGAAGUCUUCAGAAUUUCCCCUUACCGGUGGAUCCACUCAUCUGGCGAGUAAGGUCCCGAGUGCCCCGAACCUGAGUGACUUUUUUGGAUCGAGGUUGAUCGAACCUGUUCCUCAAUCUAAGAAGAGGAAAGCCCCAGCUAGGGGAUCUGAGCCUGGGACUGCUUCCAAGGUUGAUAAGCCAACUCAGGACACGGGGAAGGGUAAGGCACAAGCCCCUUCUUCUAAGUCGACUAAGACAUUGGCUAUUGAUGUGAGUGAAGAUUUUUCCGCUGGUGAGGCGAAUAGGUUCUCGCCUGUGUUUCCAUGUCGGGAGGGUUAUGUGAAGGCUGAUGACUCAGCUUGGGAUGAUAAGGAGAUCAGCCUUUCGCUGAUGGAGAAUUGCUUUCUCUUUGAGGAUGCAAAGAAAGUCCAGCCCCAGUCUCUUGUGGAGGAUUCCCAAGAAUUUGCAUCUUGCGCAUAUAGGGUGAGCUUUACUUAUCCAGUUAUGAUUUGGUUUAUCCUUUUACCUAUCAUGUUAUUUGUUUUUUUUUUUUGAUUCUUCUUCUUCUGAGUGCCAGAUGAAUGUGAUCCAUAACAAAUGGAUCACAAAGCUCGAGAAUGCAAGGAAGAAGGCUGAAGCUCUGCAAAAGGCCAACGCUGAUAACAAGGCAUUGCGAGCUGAAGUCCAGAGUCUGAAGGGUAAGCUCGAGGCUUCCCAGAAAGAGUGCGCCGAAUAUGGUGCAAAUCUGGAUGAGGCCCAAAGUUUUGUGAUGACUCUUCAAGGUCAGCUUGCUGAUGUGAAUGCGAGCUGGGAAGCUGAUGCCCAAAAGUCUGUUAAGAGUAUCAUGGGUUGGCGGCAGAUAUCUUAUGCCUGGGAGGAGAGGUGCCUUCGUCGUGAGGCUCAUCUCGCGUCAUUAGUGGAAAACUUUGAUGCGUCUGCAGAUAAGGACGCCAUAAAAGUUGCCGCUCUUGAGCGUUUUCGUCUCGACACAGAAGAGGAGAAUAACGCCACGGCUCGUGCCUCGACUGCGGAGACUGAGAAGGAACCCUCUCCUCGAGCUGAAGAGAAUUCUGGUGCAGCGACCCCAGAUACUCCUGGGGAGCGAACUUGAUACCUUGUUGUAUUUGAAAUUCUGCUGAGAGUUGUGAGGUUUUCUCUUUAUGUUGUAAAACAUGAGUAAGGAAUUCCGACCUCGGUUGGCCUUACGUCUGCUAUAUUUUGCAAUCCAACUAUUUUGAAUUUAUGUUUGUACGUUGAAUUGAAAAUGUGUGUUUACCGUUACAACUUUCUGUUGCAUGUGGCUCGAGAUCAAUUGCCUUGCAGUAUGAGCUCUUUGUUGCUUUAUUACUUACCCUUGCUGUCGACACUUGAAAGUGAUCAAGGUAGGUAGAGUUUUAGAAAUUUCGAGUUCCAAGGUCGAGGCACCUGUUCCCCUUCAGCAUCAAUUAGUGUGUAUGCGCCAUUUCCUAAGUUGGUUUUGACAAUGUAUGGUCCUUCCCAAUUAGGAUUUAGCUUUCCGUCCCCAGGUUUCUUUGUAUUUGAAAAGACUUGUCUGAGGACGAGGUCUCCACUUUGGAAUUCCCUUGACCGGACCUUUUGGUUGUAGCUUCUUUUUAAAACUUGUUGGUAACGGGCAGUGGUGAUUAAGGUUUGGUCUCGUUUUUCUUCGAGCAUGUCGACUUCGUGUGCCCAUAAAUCUUCAUUUUCCUUGGAUUGUACUAGCUCAGAUCGAGUAGUGAGGAAAUUUAGUUCAGUUGGUAUGAUAGCUUCUGUGCCAUAACAUAAGGCAAAUGGAGACAUUCCUGUAGAUGUGCGUGGUGUCGUUCUGUACGCCCAUAGUACCCUAUCGAGUUCCUCUAUCCACUUCUCUUUGUGUGCUUCAAGUUUUUUCUUAAGAUUAUUCAUGAUGGUCUUGUUGGUGGCUUCAGCCUGACCGUUGCUUUGGGCGUAGCGAGGUGUUGAAAGUGCGUGGUUGAUUCUCCAAUCGAGGUAGAAUUCCUCGAUUAUAUUUCCACAGAAUUGUUGACCAUUGUCGGUGACCAGAGUAUGUGGUAGUCCGAAUCUGGUGAUUAUAAACUUCCAGAUGAAACUUUUAACAUCUUGUUGGCGUAUUCGUCGUAGAGGUAUUGCUUCGACCCAUUUGGUGAAGUAGUCUGUUGCCACAAGUAAGAAUCGUUUUUUUGAUCUGUCCCUCAAGAUGGGACCCACAAUAUCUAACCCCCAUAUUGCAAAAGGCCAAGGGCUUGAGAUUGUCUUGAGGUCCCGAGCUGGUUGGUGAAUUAAUGGAGCAAAUCUUUGGCACUUGUCACAGUGUUGGACAAACUUGUCUGCAUCUGACUGCAUGUAUGGCCAAAAGUAACCUUGAUUUCUUGCUUUUUGGGCUAAAGACCUAGCCCCUGCAUGGUUUCCGCAUUCCCCAUGGUGGAUUUCAGCUAGAAUUGUGUGCGCUUGUUUUGGUGGGAGGCACCUCAAGUAUGGCCCUCGAGUUGACUUUCGGUAGAGUCUUUUGUCGAGUAGAAUAUAGCUUUUAGCUUUUCGCUCGAGUUUACGUAAUUCGAAAUCAUCAUCUGGGUACGUUCCCUUUAAGUAAUUGAUGAUUGGUCCCAUCCAGGAGUUUUCUAUUUCACUUGGUGGGAUAUCUAUGAAGUCUGAUACUUCAUUUACCUGAUGUACCUGUGCCUCAUAUGCCGGGGCGGACUGUAUGUCAAUUUGUAUUGUCCGCGGUGAAUCAGUGUCGAUUUGUGAGGCUAGAUAUGCCAAGCUAUCGGCGUGACGAUUAUCAUCCCGUGGGACAUGUUGAAUUUCCCAUUUUUUGAAAUAGCUUAGUAAUUUUUUGGUAUGCUCCAAGUACAUCUUUAGAGUAUUUUCCCUUGUUUCGUAGUCGCCUAGAAUUUGGCUGACUACCAAUUGUGAGUCACUUAGGAUUCGUAGUUCCUUUACUUGUAAAGCUAUGGCCAUUUGUAUGCCUGUGUGGAGUGCCUCGUAUUCUGCAUCAUUAUUGCUUGAGGUGAAAUUUAGUCUGACAGACUUUUCUAUGAUGGCAUUCUCUGGUGAGAUUAGCGUGGCUCCUACUCCUGAACCGUUGAGGUUUUUGGAGCCAUCGACAUAAAGUUUCCAUAUUGGAAUAUUUGUUAUUGUCUGGUCGAUGAUCUCAUUAUCUGGUAUCCAUGAGUUGUCGUCAAUGGCAUAAUCCACCAGGAGGUCGGCUACGAUUUGCCCUUUUCUGCUACUCCGCGGGGUGAAAAUGAGCUCGUGGUCUCCGAGUUCUUGAGCCCAUUUUGCCAUUCUUGUAGAUUUGUUUCUGCUUUCUAACACUUGUCGAAUAGGUGCAUCUGUUAGGACUCUUAUUUUGUGUGACUGGAAAUACGGCUUCAACUUUCGUGAGGCGAAAAGUAAGGCUAAACCUACCUUUUCGAGGCUUGAAUAUCGAGCUUCAGAAGACAUUAAUGUCUUACUGAUGAAGUAUAUUGGUCUUUCUAUACCUCUCUCAUCUCGGAACAAUACUCCGCUAAUUGCGUGUUCCGAUGUGCCAAGGUAGAGCCCUAGCACGUCGCCAUCUUGUGGUACCGUGAUGACUGGUGGAGUAGCCAAGUAUAACUUGAGCUCGUCGAACGCUUGUUGGCAUUCAGGUGUCCAGUUAUAAGUUGACCCUUUCUUUAGUAGUUGAAGUAAUGGGCGUUGUUUGUCUGAUGCCCGGGCUAUGAACCUGUUUAAGGCUGCUAUCAUGCCGUUAAGUUUUUGAACUUGUUUCUUAGUUUUUGGACUCGGCAUCUCAAGUAUGGCUUUGAUUUUUUCUGGGUUGGCUUCGAUACCUCUUUGUGUGAUGAGGUAACCCAAGAAUUUUCCAGAUGCUACGCCGAAUAAACAUUUUUCCGGAUUGAGCUUCAUGUUGUACUCAUUAAGUCGGAGGAAUGUUUUUUCGAGGUCGGUGAUAUGGGUGGCUUUAUGCUUGCUUUUGACAAUCAUAUCAUCAACAUACACUUCCAUUGUUUUGCCAAUCAUAUCAUGGAACAUUUUUGUUGCGAGUCGUUGAUAUGUGGCUCCUGCAUUUCUUAAUCCAAAUGGCAUGACUGUGUAACAAAAGGUACCUUGCUCAGUGAUGAACGCGGUUUUCUCUUGAUCUUCAUCUGCUAAUUUUAUUUGAUUGUAACCUGAAUAGCCAUCCAUUAAGGAAAUUAGUUCGUGACCUGCUGUUGAGUCAACGAGUUUGUCUAUUCGAGGAAGAGGAAAGCUAUCUUUCGGGCAAGCUUUGUUAAGGUCCGUGAAGUCGAUACAUACUCUGACUUUCCCGUUAGGUUUUAUGACUGCGACAAUAUUGGACAGCCAGUCAGGGUAUGCGACCUCACGAAUGAAUUUUGCAUUUUUUAGCUUUUGUAUCUCUGCGUUAACCGCAUUGGCGAGAUGAGCUGCUAGUUUGCGAGCCUUUUGUUUGACAGGCUUUUUGUUAGUAUCUACAUUUAACCUGUGACAAACAAUAGUGGGAUUGAUCCCUGGCAUGUCGGUAUAAGCAAAAGCAAAGACAUUUUUAUUCAUUUUAAGAGUAGCAAUGAGUUGCUCUUUUACAAUGGGGUCCAAGUUAGCCCCUACAUAGACAUAUUUAGGAUCAUUAUCCGAUCCUAUAUUGACCUUUUCACCUUGUUCAAUGACGGGUGGGUCGGAUGGAUGAACAAUUUCCUUGCCAUUUUCAGCUUGUGAUAUCUCAUUCUCAUUGGGUUGAGUGGAUGCUUCGACUGCCUUGCAGAUUGCAGCGAUCAUAUUGACAGUGGGCUUAGAUGAGCUCGCCACCGUUGUGGGGGCAUCCACUUUAUUAGGGAGUGGGAUGACCUCUGGUAUUGCAUGACAGCCAUGUGCUUCAAUCUGAUCACCUCGUAAUUCCAUGAUGCCUCUAGGGCCAGGAAACUUGAUGACCUGAUGAUAUGUCGAAGGUACUGCCUUCAUCUUAUGUAUCCACUUCCGUCCCAGAAUUGCAUUGAACUGAGCGGGGACAUCAAGGACGAAGAAGGUGCAAUACACCGUGACUUCGUCUUCAUUUUCACCAGUUGCUACAGGGAGGCAGAUUUCACCUUUUGCUUCAGUUUCAGUUGAGUUGAAUGCAAAAAGAGUGACUUGUGGUUUUUGAAGGACUGAGUCGGGCAUCUGCAUCUGACUGUAUGCCUUGUUGAAGAUUACAUCACAAGAACUUCCGGGGUCGAUAAGUACUUUUUUCAUUAUCCAUCCCCCAAUGUUGAUGUGGACUACCAAUGCGUCAUUAUGCGGGAGACAUACUUUUUUAAGGUCGAAAUCAGAGAAGAUUAAAGCAUUGUUACCUGUGACUUGUUUAGCCACGAUUGCUUUGUGAGUCAAAUGGAAGGUAUGGUGAAUGUGAUGAAUCUUUUGUUUCUUUGAACGAGCUGACCAUUCAGGAGGUCGGGCAUCCAUAAUCAUGUUGAUGGUUCCCUUGGGCUGCUUACCUUUCUCUGUUGAGGUCUUUUGUCGUUUUGCAUCUAUUUUGCUGCGGAGGUCGGGUUCGUUUUCGGAGAGGAAGUCAUCGAGGUGACCCUCUUCCUUGAGCUUGUGACAGUAAGCUCUCAAAAUACGGCAAUCUUCAGUGAGAUGGUGGCGGCACUUAUGGAACUUGCAGUAUGGUUUCCCUUCAAUUGGUUCCAGGUCGUGAACUUGAGGCUGGAAGUAAUCUUCAUCUUUGAUGAGGUCGAAGAGCUGAUUAUAUGAGCACUUGAAGGGACUCGGAGUUUUGGAUUUUGCAUUAGGUGCGUGCUUUCCUUUGUAUUCUGAUCGAUUCGGCUUCGGUUUUGAGUGAGUGGUCUCUGUUGUUUGGACAACAGCCACUCGUUCCUUGGAUUUUGUGAGGGCAUCCUCUAGUUUGAUGUACUUGUCAGCACGUACAUACAAGUCUUCCAACGUUGCAGGGGCAUCUAGGAUAAUAUUCUUUCCUAGUGCUGUAUUGGGGUUGACAGCAGAAAUGAAGGCCAAGAGACAUGAGUAUUCAUCUGGAUUCUCAGCUCGCAGGCAUUCCUUUUUGAAUCUUGCCAUGAACUUCUUUGUUGUUUCAGUUUCAUCUUGUUUGAGACGGAAAAGGGCCGUAACCUCGAUUCUUCUCCUUUUGUUGUGGAUAUAUUGGGUGAAAAAAAGUGACUCCAGUUGGUCGUACGAGGUAAUGGAUCUUUCCGGUAGUCGAUGAUACCAGUCUAUUGCACUCCCACGGAGUGAUGCAGAAAACAAUCGGCAGAAAAUGUCUUUGUACUUUGGCCACAGGGCCAUGCUUGUUUUGAACUGUAGGACGUGGUCCAUUGGGUCUCCACUUCCGUCGUAAGUGGUGAACUUUGGAGGCAUGAAGUUUGGGGGGGGGUUCCUGUUGUAGGAGGUCUUCGUGAAGGGGUUCUAUCUUAUAACAUUCUAGGGUUGUUGAGGCUACCUUUUGGGCUGUGUUAGCCUUAAGCGAGUCUUGAUGAUUUUUAUCAAGCUUUUCCGAUAGCUGUAGUAUUCUGUCGUGAGCAGCUUGAAGGUCAGCCAUGGUGGGUGCAGCGGUGUUACUGGAGGUGGGUAGGGCAGGGUUGUUGACAGUUGUUGUGACUUCUUCAGCGUUGAGCGCAUUUGCAGCAACUCCGUUGAGCGGUGUGCCAUUAGUGGUGGCGGUGGUGCUCUUGAGGUGAUUGUUUUCAGCCACCAGCCUGUUGAUCUGUUCUUGUUGAUCAGCCAUCUGCUUCUGGAGUUGUUCGAAUUGCUCGCUAGUGAUUGCUGCCAUGGUCGGUUGUCAGGUUAUUGUUCGUUCACGAAUCAGUCGGCGCCAAUGUAAAUGUAAGUGUAUUUGGUUCUUAGGACAGUCGGAGAAGAUGAUCGGAGUUCAGAAGAGGAAGGAGAUGAGGUUGUGGAAAUGGCUGAGCUACCUGAUUAGAUAGUUGCCUACGUAUCUGAGAAAGAAUUCCUUUCGCCCCAGAAUCAAGCCCACGUAGUUCAUUAUAUAGGUGAUUGGGACAACGGAUAGCUCAUUAAUUGCCCAACGGAAUGGUCAAUUAAUGGGUGGAUAUCUUGGAUCUGACAAUAUAUUGUAACCGUAGAGAAUCAAAACGUAAAGUGUUUGAAUGAGGACGAUGUAGCUCGAGUAAAAGUAGCUCUACGUCGGGUGAGGUCGGAUAAAAAUGGGCUUGUGUCGAGUAAAGGCUUUUGAAGGUCGGAUCGUAUUAGCAUUUGUGGUGACGUAGUGAGCUCGAGUAAGUGUGGUGUUACGUCGAGUAGAGUCGAAUAUACUUGGGUUCACGACGAGUUAUGUGAAUGGGUAUAUACACAAAAUAAUUUAAAUUUUUUUAACUUCAUUAUUUCAUUGAAAAACCAGAAAUCAUUGUUAUUGUUUUUUUGUUGACAACUUCAUAGUUAGUAUUCUUUGGUUGGAUGUUAUCAUCUCAUGACGAUUAGUUGUUUUUCGUUGACAACUUCAUGUCUUUCUAAUGAUUAGAGAUUAUGGAUUGUGACAGAGUAUUAUCUCUCUUUUUCUUAAAAUGGAACUAUUUAUUGCACAUUACUGAAAGUCGUAAAUCUUUUCUAUUAUUUUUAUCACAUUCAAUUGUGUAAGGACUGUCAUUCCUUCUCCUUGCAGUAUUAACCAAUACAACAAAUCUUUGAGAUAAAUCUUUUGUAUUAUUUUUGUACUCAUCAGUCGAGUUACUAAUGAGGCUACUGAACACUACAAUAAAAAAAACGUAAGACUGUUACUAUAGAUGAUUUGUUGAUUGGCAUGACAAAAAUUGGGCUUGGUCAUCAUGCAGAAAUGCUUUCUACAUACAUUCAACAAUACUAUGAUCAUUCCAUCGAUGUGGGCAACUCUACAGGCAAGAGGGUAGAGCUAAAUGGUCUUUAAUAAAUUUCUACAUGUAUCAAACAUUAUGGAAAGUAUAAAACUUGUUCAGACAAAUCCGAAUCCCAAAUAUAGAUGCAGAUAUAUGUAUUGAAAGAAGUGUAUUCCAUCAUUUGUUUUCUAUUGUAGAGUAAAUAUAGGAACAAUUGUCAGGUGAAUUUAUGCAGAUGCCUGUUCCACAAUGCAGAUAAUCAUUGCUCGUUAUUCCUUCAACUUGAU